AAGUCGUAACAAGGUUUCCGUAGGUGAACCUGCGGAAGGAUCAUUCAUAAUAAGUGUUCUACUACACUUUUUAAAUAAGUACUCACCUUGUGUGCAAUGUUUGCUGUCGCGUCGUUCACGCGUCACGACAGCAUAAUACCAACCUUUUAUUGAAAUUUUUUGUCUGAAGCUAUUUUGAAUAAAUAAUUCUAAAUACAACUUUCAACAACGGAUCUCUUGGCUCUCGCAUCGAUGAAGAACGCAGCGAAAUGCGAUACGUAAUGUGAAUUGCAGAAUUCAGUGAAUCAUCGAAUCUUUGAACGCACAUUGCACUCUCUGGUAUUCCGGAGAGUAUGCUUGUUUGAGUAUCUGUAAACAUCUCAAAUCUCCUAACGCUUGCGUUUGAGAGAAUUGGAUUUGAGCGAUCCCGACUCCUUCGUCAGAAAGAGGAGGGUCGCUUGAAAUGCAGGUGCAGCUGGACAUUCUUCUGAGCUAAAAGCAUAUCUAUUUAGUCCCGUCAAACGGAUUAUUACUUUUGCUUCAGCUAAUAUAAAGGUCGAAUGAACUACCAACGCUGAUUGCAGGAAAACUCGUUUGUAACAGAACUUGUAAACUCGAUCUCAAAUCAAGUAAGACUACCCGCUGAACUUA
This 630-nucleotide ribosomal RNA is filed under the name uncultured fungus. Its description in RNAcentral is "eukaryotic LSU rRNA". The stretch from base 197 to 350 matches the Rfam family "5.8S ribosomal RNA". The record is from RNAcentral. Lineage: Eukaryota; Fungi.